RNAcentral lists this long non-coding RNA (782 nucleotides) under Brassica napus (rape). RNAcentral's name for it is "long non-coding RNA (BNAP_LNC006851)". The record is from RNAcentral. Lineage: Eukaryota; Viridiplantae; Streptophyta; Magnoliopsida; Brassicales; Brassicaceae.
UGAUAAAAACCUCCCAAGGAAUACACUCUGAAAUUGGUAAGGGAUAAGCCUUGCACCGAAUGAGCCCGAAAGCAACAAACGAUCAAGGGAUGUGGAUCGAAAGGUGACACAAGAGGGGCGGAAAGUCUCUUGAUACUAUCCUAUAAUGACCGCCUCUAGAUAUGACACACUAGAUUAGACCAAGUUAGACUGAAGGAUAUUACACACCAACAAUCAUAAAAGUUUUGACCAAUGGAUAUGACAUACCAUGAUCGAAAACAAGUUUGAGAAUCACUCUCAAGGUUCCAAAAAUAUAAACUCAACUCUUAUUUUAUUUCAAUGGAGAUUACAACUUAUUUAUAAGAGACUUAACUUGCUCACAAAGCUAGAUAGUUAUUACAUUGGAAAUGAUAAAACUAGUGCAUGGAGGAGAGAGAGUGUUCUUGAAACAAGCAUUCUUUGCAUGUAGGAGAGAGAAGCUUUCCAUGCAAUUAACCACCUAAUUUUCGUCACUCUCUUUGGACAGCAAAGAAACCACUUGAUUUUGAAUCUUCUUGGGCUUGUAACAUGAUAAAAAUGGGCUGGACAUGCUACCUAACAUCAUGGAUCAAUUUCUGAAUGUCUUUCAUGUCCGUAGAUUCAUAUAUCAGCCCAUGAUCACAUCAUACUCCUCCUCUUCAAAAAGAUUUGUCCUCAAAUCUUGCUCUCCGAAGAAAGAAAAACUUGAAUACACACUUCCCAAAAGAUCCAGCAGAUUUGUAGAACAUAAAUAACAAAACUUUUUUUUUUUUUUUUUUUUUUAG